GUACAGGACUCCAGGUUGUCCCAGUAAUCCGUGUCAGAACAAUGGGUCUUGUAUGGAUACAGAUUCCGGUUAUGUCUGUGUGUGUUCAGAACCGUGGACUGGAAACAACUGUGAAAAUGACGUUACGACCACCACCAUAGAACCGAUACCAAUUAACAUACCAAAACAUUCGAUUCCAAACUUUGAUGCCAAAAAGGAUUCUAAUUCAACAGGCAAGAAUCACUGGUAUAUAAUAGUAAUUGCGAUAGUUGUAACGGCGCUUGUGGCAGUUCUUCUUAUUAUUUGUGUCAUUUGGGGUAG
This is a long non-coding RNA of Patella vulgata (common limpet), 300 nucleotides long. RefSeq lists it as uncharacterized. The transcript is spliced from 3 exons. The record is from RefSeq and is a predicted model, not a curated record. Lineage: Eukaryota; Metazoa; Mollusca; Gastropoda; Patellidae.